RNAcentral lists this ribosomal RNA (509 nucleotides) under Pseudomonas aeruginosa. RNAcentral's name for it is "bacterial SSU rRNA". It matches the Rfam family "Bacterial small subunit ribosomal RNA", at positions 47 to 555 of the family's 1533-position model. The record is from RNAcentral. Lineage: Bacteria; Pseudomonadati; Pseudomonadota; Gammaproteobacteria; Pseudomonadales; Pseudomonadaceae.
CCUACCAUGCAGUCGAGCGGAUGAGGGAGCUUGCUCCUGGAUUCAGCUCGCGGACGGGUGAGUAUGCCUAGGAAUCUGCCUGGUAGUGGGGGAUAACGUCCGGAAACGGGCGCUAAUACCGCAUACGUCCUGAGGGAGAAAGUGGGGGAUCUUCGGACCUCACGCUAUCAGAUGAGCCUAGGUCGGAUUAGCUAGUUGGUGGGGUAAAGGCCUACCAAGGCGACGAUCCGUAACUGGUCUGAGAGGAUGAUCAGUCACACUGGAACUGAGACACGGUCCAGACUCCUACGGGAGGCAGCAGUGGGGAAUAUUGGACAAUGGGCGAAAGCCUGAUCCAGCCAUGCCGCGUGUGUGAAGAAGGUCUUCGGAUUGUAAAGCACUUUAAGUUGGGAGGAAGGGCAGUAAGUUAAUACCUUGCUGUUUUGACGUUACCAACAGAAUAAGCACCGGCUAACUUCGUGCCAGCAGCCGCGGUAAUACGAAGGGUGCAAGCGUUAAUCGGAAUUACU